This 301-nucleotide ribosomal RNA is filed under the name uncultured bacterium. RNAcentral's name for it is "partial 16S ribosomal RNA". It matches the Rfam family "Bacterial small subunit ribosomal RNA", at positions 509 to 809 of the family's 1533-position model. The record is from RNAcentral.
CAGCAGCCGCGGGAAUACGAAGGGUGCAAGCGUUACUCGGAAUUACUGGGCGUAAAGCGUGCGUAGGUGGUGGUUUAAGUCCGUUGUGAAAGCCCUGGGCUCAACCUGGGAAUUGCAGUGGAUACUGGGUCACUAGAGUGUGGUAGAGGAUAGUGGAAUUUCCGGUGUAGCAGUGAAAUGCGUAGAGAUCGGAAGGAACAUCUGUGGCGAAGGCGACUAUCUGGGCCAACACUGACACUGAGGCACGAAAGCGUGGGGAGCAAACAGGAUUAGAUACCCGUGUAGUCCCUGUCUCUUAUAU